UCCGGAAGGUGCGGCUGGAUCACCUCCUUUCUAAGGAGCACCUGGCGCUGUCGGCCGAAGGCCGUCGGCGUCCAGCGCCUUUUCCGGGCGCAUGUCCCGGAAGGCCGCUCUGUGGAGCACUGGUUAUUCGGUCUGGGCGUUCGCCCCGGUCGGCUAGUACUGUCAGCGCGGUAGAGCGUGCUGGCGUGGAACGCAGAUCCGCGGGGAUGGCCAGGCCGAGCACGCUGUUGGGUCCUGAGGGAACGGCCGCCUGGCCGGUUUACCUCUGUCGGACCGAAUCCUCCUCGCCCCCGUGGCGGGUGAGGCUCGGGUACCGCCCGUAUCUUAAGAACUGCACAGUGGACGCGAGCAUCAUCUGUAGUUGCCAAGUUAAUAAGGGCACAC
This 384-nucleotide unclassified non-coding RNA is filed under the name uncultured bacterium. RNAcentral describes it as "partial may contain 16S ribosomal RNA, 16S-23S ribosomal RNA intergenic spacer, and 23S ribosomal RNA". The record is from RNAcentral.